This 97-nucleotide signal recognition particle RNA is filed under the name Hellea sp. RNAcentral's name for it is "signal recognition particle sRNA small type". It matches the Rfam family "Bacterial small signal recognition particle RNA". Rfam says of the family: The signal recognition particle (SRP) is a universally conserved ribonucleoprotein involved in the co-translational targeting of proteins to membranes. Archaeal SRP consists of a 7S RNA and homologues of the eukaryotic SRP19 and SRP54 proteins. In most bacteria, the SRP consists of a 4.5S RNA and the Ffh protein (a homologue of the eukaryotic SRP54 protein). The record is from RNAcentral. Lineage: Bacteria; Pseudomonadati; Pseudomonadota; Alphaproteobacteria; Maricaulales; Robiginitomaculaceae.
GGAAGGUUAUCUUGGACGACAUUCUUGUUAACCCGGUCAGGUCGGGAACGAAGCAGCCGAAUAUAAGUCCUUGUUGGGUCAGGUAUAGCCUUCCACU